This 308-nucleotide ribosomal RNA is filed under the name uncultured bacterium. Its description in RNAcentral is "partial 16S ribosomal RNA". It matches the Rfam family "Bacterial small subunit ribosomal RNA", at positions 505 to 808 of the family's 1533-position model. The record is from RNAcentral.
GAGACAGCAGCCGCCACGGUAAUACGUAGGUCCCGAGCGUUGUCCGGAUUUAUUGGGCGUAAAGCGAGCGCAGGCGGUUAGAAAAGUCUGAAGUGAAGGGCAGUGGCUCAACCAUUGUAGGCUUUGGAAACUGUUUAACUUGAGUGCAGAAGGGGAGAGUGGAAUUCCAUGUGUAGCGGUGAAAUGCGUAGAUAUAUGGAGGAACACCGGUGGCGAAAGCGGCUCUCUGGUCUGUAACUGACGCUGAGGCUCGAAAGCGUGGGGAGCGAACAGGAUUAGAUACCCCUGUAGUCCCUGUCUCUUAUACA